UGCGUAGGUGGUGAGGUAAGUCGGAUGCGAAAGCUCGGAGCUCAACUCCGAAAUGGCAUUGGAAACUACCUUGCUCGAGGGUUGGAGGGGGGACUGGAAUGCUUGGUGUAGCAGUGAAAUGCGUAGAUAUCAAGCGGAACACCAGUGGCGAAGGCGAGUCCCUGGACAACUCCUGACACUGAGGCACGAAAGCUAGGGAGCAAACA
RNAcentral lists this ribosomal RNA (206 nucleotides) under uncultured bacterium. RNAcentral describes it as "partial 16S ribosomal RNA". It matches the Rfam family "Bacterial small subunit ribosomal RNA", at positions 568 to 774 of the family's 1533-position model. The record is from RNAcentral.